This 670-nucleotide long non-coding RNA is filed under the name Phoenix dactylifera (date palm). RNAcentral describes it as "long non-coding RNA (PDAC_LNC019695)". Lineage: Eukaryota; Viridiplantae; Streptophyta; Magnoliopsida; Arecales; Arecaceae. The record is from RNAcentral.
UGCCUGCGCGUCUGUAUACACAUAUAGCAAAUAUUGAUGUGCAAAGGCAUGUGUACAUGGGGAAAUAUCAUGACCAAAAGUUAUAAUCGGUCAUAAGUUAAAAAAAGAAAUUUUGAACUUACAGGAUUGAUUGGAGGCACAAAAUUACUUUGUGCAAAUAUAAGUCAUUAGCCUUGUAAAGCAAUAUAAAAAAAGGUGCAAACUUUGUGCUACAUGAAGUUUAUGAUUUUAUCCCAAACCAUUUGGCACCUUGCAACUGGUAAUGAUGCUAGCAACAUUAACAAAAAGUAACUAAGCAAACAUCACAGGGCAACGAAGGAAGAGAUGCAGAUCAAAAUGCACUUCAAGCCAUCAGGCAUAUUCAUAGAAUAAGUGCUGAUGUUCAGCUAUGCUAAAGCUAUGCUAGUUCAACCUGAAGAGAACAACAAAUGCAAAAACUAAAAUAAUGUGUGCAUGUGUUACCCAGCAAUACCCGUUUGAUUCCUAAUACACAAGAAUUAAGAGUCAAAGAGCUACCUAGUCUUGGCACCAAUACAGACCUAUUCAAGACAUCUUUUUUCCACUGUCUUAGAUAUAACAAAGAACCAACACUGCAUAGUGUAGUAAAGCCCCUAAUGAAGACAUCCAAGCAUGAAUAAGAAACAAUACAUGCAACUUUGACUACACCAUC